RNAcentral lists this ribosomal RNA (371 nucleotides) under uncultured bacterium. RNAcentral's name for it is "bacterial SSU rRNA". It matches the Rfam family "Bacterial small subunit ribosomal RNA", at positions 527 to 896 of the family's 1533-position model. The record is from RNAcentral.
GGAGGGUGCGAGCGUUGUUCGGAAUUACUGGGCGUAAAGCGCGUGUAGGCGGCCUUGCAAGUCAGGCGUGAAAGCCCUCGGCUUAACCGGGGAAGUGCGUCUGAAACUGCUUGGCUUGAGUACGGGAGAGGGAGGCGGAAUUCCCAGUGUAGAGGUGAAACUCGUAGAUAUUGGGAGGAACACCGGUGGCGAAAGCGGCCUCCUGGACCGAUACUGACGCUGAGACGCGGAAGCGUGGGGAGCAAACAGGAUUAGAUACCCUGGUAGUCCACGCGGUAAACGAUGGGCACUAGGUGUGGGGGGUAUCCACUCCUCCCGUGCCGAGGCUAACGCAUUAAGUGCCCCGCCUGGGGAGUACGGCCGCAAGGUUA